GAUCGGAACGAGAACCGCUGCCGGACGUACCGGACGUUCUUGCGCGAUGAUCUGCAGCAUCGCGUCGGUGCCGAAAUCGCCGGUCGGCGCGAGCACCGCGGCAUCGGUCAGUCCCGGCGGCACGUCGAAGUUCAGCCGCUCGUGCGCCCUGCGAAAGAAUUCGCCGGAGCUCAUGUCGAGCGGAGCCGCAGUGCUGGCGGAUGCAGCGUCCU
Molecule: unclassified non-coding RNA, 212 nt
Filed under: Hevea brasiliensis (rubber tree)
Lineage: Eukaryota; Viridiplantae; Streptophyta; Magnoliopsida; Malpighiales; Euphorbiaceae
Source: RNAcentral